UCGAAGCCUAGAAAGCGCGACCGCGAAUGAGUUUACAAUCUUGGGNAGCGCCUAGCGGCCCUCGGGCUCCCCGGCGCAACCUCGCGCGGCCGGCGAGGAGACCUGCGCUCUUCGCCUGCCCAAACUAACGAAAUCCGGCGCGGACCGCGCCAAGGAAUCAAAACGAGAAGUGCUUGNACCCUCCGACCCGUUGAUCGGGUUGCAGGGCCUUGCCAGUUCAGAAAAUAACAUAACGACUCUCGGCAACGGAUAUCUCGGCUCUCGCAUCGAUGAAGAACGUAGCAAAAUGCGAUACUUGGUGUGAAUUGCAGAAUCCCGUGAAUCAUCGAGUCUUUGAACGCAAGUUGCGCCCGAAGCCUCUAGGCCGAGGGCACGUCUGCCUGGGCGUCAUGCACUGCGAUGCCCCCAUGCAAGCAUGCGGGGCGAAUCUUGGCCUCCCGUUAGCCCAACUCGCGGAAUGGCUUAAAAGAGAGCCUCGAGACGGAAUAACGUCGCGACAAGUGGUGGUUAAGAGGCCUUCGGCCCCGGAACUUAGCGCGUCGCGGCGUCACCCGCCCCUUGCUCGGAAAAAGACCUUAGCGGAGCGCUAUUGCGCGCGCCAGCAUCG
This 607-nucleotide unclassified non-coding RNA is filed under the name Sedum dendroideum. RNAcentral describes it as "sequence contains ITS1, 5.8S rRNA gene and ITS2". The stretch from base 235 to 390 matches the Rfam family "5.8S ribosomal RNA". The record is from RNAcentral. Lineage: Eukaryota; Viridiplantae; Streptophyta; Magnoliopsida; Saxifragales; Crassulaceae.